This 25-nucleotide non-coding RNA is filed under the name Mus musculus (house mouse). Lineage: Eukaryota; Metazoa; Chordata; Mammalia; Rodentia; Muridae. The record is from RNAcentral.
UGGAGACCAAGAGCCAAGGGUGGUA